This 344-nucleotide long non-coding RNA is filed under the name Rattus norvegicus (Norway rat). RNAcentral describes it as "long non-coding RNA NONRATT012726". The record is from RNAcentral. Lineage: Eukaryota; Metazoa; Chordata; Mammalia; Rodentia; Muridae.
CUCCAGACACAUAAAAGAGUUCACACUGGAGAGAAACCCUACAAAUGUAAUGAAUGUGAUAAAGCCUUUUCAAGACCCAGUAGCCUCCAGACACAUAAAAGAGUUCACACUGGAGAGAAACCCUACAAAUGUAAUGAAUGUGAUAAAACCUUUUCACGACCCAGUAGCCUCCAGAAGCAUAAAAGAGUUCACACUGGAGAGAAACCCUACAAAUGUAAUGAAUGUGAUAAAGCCUUUUCACGACGCAGUAGCCUCCAGAAGCAUAAAAGAGUUCACACUGGAGAGAAACCCUACAAAUGCAAUGAAUGUGAUAAAGCCUUUUCACGACCCAGUUGACUCCAGCA